Molecule: long non-coding RNA, 652 nt
Organism: Marmota monax (woodchuck)
Lineage: Eukaryota; Metazoa; Chordata; Mammalia; Rodentia; Sciuridae
Exons: 3
Source: RefSeq, a predicted model, not a curated record
CCAGCCGAAACAAGGAUGCACUCAAGCUGCAGAACCUGAUGAGGACCUAGACUGACAUCCCAUCACUUGUCAUGUUUCCUGAUCCUCUGCAUGAUCCUCACCACUCUCAAACUCUGCAGCCUCCUCUGGACCUUGAUGAGAGCUGCAACUUCUCUGUCGGACCCUCUCCUCAAUGGGUCAUCCACUCCAUGCCAGGAAAAGCCUGCCUUGGUUCCUGACCUGAUCACCGUGGUCUGAAUGAAGAGACUAAAUUACAAAGUGUAUAAGUUAAGGAACCUACCCACCUUUACAUAUAGAGGCUAUGGAUGACUUUUGAAGCUGCAUCUUUGUGUGCAUUUGCACCUUGAAAUGGCAGUGGAGCUGUGAGAACAUUUACAACUGAGGGAGUGAGGAACAAUUAGCUCCUCCACUUCAAUGAUAAAGAGAAAGGAAACAUUUCGUUUAGUAUUCAACAUAGCACUUUUUUUUUGAGGGAGUCACAUAUCCAUUUCCAAAUUUCCAUUCUUUAUUGACACAAAAAUAAAUUGAAAUAGAGUAAUGAAUAUCCAAUCAAUAGAAUAUUCUCAUUUAUAGUCUUCUAGUAUCCUUCAUUGCCCAAGGCUACCAGUUACUAUAAUAUAUAUGUAUGUAUGUAAAAUAUAUAUAUUGAUAA